UGAUUGCGAGUACCUAAAGAAGUGCUGUGAAAAUCUAACACAAGAAAACAGGAGGUUGCAGAAGGAAGUUCAGGAACUUAGAGCAUUGAAGUUGUCUCCCCAGCUCUACAUGCACAUGAACCCUCCCACCACCCUCACCAUGUGCCCUUCAUGUGAGCGUGUUGCAGUCUCAUCAUCAUCCUCAUCUUCAGCUGCCGCCGCAUCAAGUGCCCCGAACCGCCAUCCGGCAAAUCCCCAUCCUCAACGACCUGUGCCCAUUAAGCCAUGGGCAGCACUGCCUAUCCACCAUCGAUCUUUUGAUAAGCCUGCUUCGAGGUCAUAAAUGUUAGGUUGAGACGGGAAUAUAAAAGGUGGUUGGGAUGCGAUUUUGUUCCAAGAGUCUGGGCUUGUAUAGAGUGGAGUUAGUUACAGAAAGUAGUGUUUAUAAAUGAAAAUGGCGACUAGGAUUAACUUGAAGGGAUAUGAUAUGAGAAAAGAAUCUGAAUAUCUUUCUUUUGGCUAAUGUUAUUGUUGGAAUCUGAUGUUGGACAAAGUGGAAUUUAGCAUUUAGCGAAGUUAGCAUUUGCGAUUAUUAUAUAAUUCUAAUUCUAAUGAAGGAAUUGUUGUCUAUUGCUGGCUAUGAGAUUCCAACCGUUCCCUGUGAUUCUGUGAAUCUCUCCACUAAUUAAUUUAAUUAGAUUUC
Molecule: unclassified non-coding RNA, 682 nt
Filed under: Hevea brasiliensis (rubber tree)
Lineage: Eukaryota; Viridiplantae; Streptophyta; Magnoliopsida; Malpighiales; Euphorbiaceae
Source: RNAcentral